AUGCACGCUGGCGGCGUGCCUAAUACCUGCAAGUCGAGCGAACAGAUGAGGAGCUUGCUCCUCUGACGUUAGCGGCGGACGGGUGAGUAACACGUGGAUAACCUACCUAUAAGACUGGGAUAACUUCGGGAAACCGGAGCUAAUACCGGAUAAUAUAUUGAACCGCAUGGUUCAAUAGUGAAAGACGGUUUUGCUGUCACUUAUAGAUGGAUCCGCGCCGCAUUAGCUAGUUGGUAAGGUAACGGCUUACCAAGGCAACGAUGCGUAGCCGACCUGAGAGGGUGAUCGGCCACACUGGAACUGAGACACGGUCCAGACUCCUACGGGAGGCAGCAGUAGGGAAUCUUCCGCAAUGGGCGAAAGCCUGACGGAGCAACGCCGCGUGAGUGAUGAAGGUCUUCGGAUCGUAAAACUCUGUUAUUAGGGAAGAACAAAUGUGUAAGUAACUAUGCACGUCUGGACGGUACCUAAUCAGAAAGCCACGGCUAACUACGU
This 495-nucleotide ribosomal RNA is filed under the name uncultured bacterium. RNAcentral's name for it is "partial 16S ribosomal RNA". It matches the Rfam family "Bacterial small subunit ribosomal RNA", at positions 29 to 506 of the family's 1533-position model. The record is from RNAcentral.